CACACUGUUCCUGCUUCCUGACAGGUUCACUUGAACCAUCUGGAGAUUGGGGAACAAGGGCAAUGAGUUGAACAUGUAGGAAGUUUCAUGGCCCAGCCCCUCCUGAGAGCCCUGAACUGCCAACCAGACUGAGCCCAUCAGAGAAUAACACCUCAUUUUCUGAGGAUUCUGAUACCUUUUCAAUCAGAAACAGAAGCAAAGAUUCUGCAGCUCCCACAGAAACUCCCAGAAACCUUGCGGUGCUUCACCCUUCUGAGAUCCUUGAGUCCGAAUGUGGGAGCUAACCAGGCACAUCUUCACAAUGAAAUCUUCACAAGCUCAGAACCAUCAACUUGCUACACUGUGUUCCUCCAGUGCCCAGUUCACAGGAAGCACUCAAGAAAAUCAAGGCUGAAUCAAACAGGACUACUGUUCUGAAAGAAUACUCAGACUAUGAGUCUUCCUCCAGACAGGCACGCCAUACAACCGACUACACUUGGGCUCACUGAAUGAAUCACAUUCUUCUGCUGUGCCUCCCAGAGAUUUCAUCAAAGCACCCGCAGUGGCCUUCUGGAGGCUCCUCAAACUCUCCACUCAAUGUUUCCUGAAAGUGUCGUGUUUCUCACCUCUAGAUUGUUAUUCUCAUCAGUUACAUGUGGGUUUCACAAAUUUAUUUCUCAGAAUGCAAGUCUGUCUCUUAUAUCCUCGGGAAACACACCUUUAUAUCCCAGUUAGUACUGACAAAAAUUAAACUAGGGACUGGCCAAAAACAGUGCCUUUCCUCACUUUAAUCUCACUAAAGUAGAUAAGACUCAAGUUAUUUUGUUCUUGCAAUGGCAUUGACAAAUGUUUGCACCAAAAACCAUGUUGAAGUUCAUUAAGGAAACUGUGAUCCAAGAUCCAAGGUCAAAAAAACAAAUUCAUCAAUUCAGCACACCACCAACUCACAGGCUAAGCAUCUUACUGCUAAUUCAUUGAUGCUGCCAUUUGUCAAGUGCCAAAUUGAAUUAUUGAUUUGUCAAUAAUUUCCUUCCGUUGGUUACUUAUAUAGUAUAUUGCAAUUCUUGUUGCUGAAGUCAGCUACACUUUUUCUAUUUGAAAAACAAUUUCUUGCAUUUGGGAUUUCAGGUAUAGUGAUUGUUACAAAUAUGAAGGACUUGAAUUAACAGCAAGUUUUCAAGUAAAACUUUACUUAUGUAUAACUGAAUGAGUUCUUAAAGACAUUUACUAACAAUUUUCCACAAACUAAAAAUUUAUAAAACAAUAAAUAAAAUAGACUUUAAAAAAAA
Molecule: long non-coding RNA, 1268 nt
Organism: Homo sapiens (human)
Lineage: Eukaryota; Metazoa; Chordata; Mammalia; Primates; Hominidae
Source: Ensembl